GAUAGUGUGAUGUAGUGGUUUGAGCACCAGACUACAACUCUGGAGAUCAGGGUUUGAUUCCCUCCCUGCUCUGCCA
Molecule: non-coding RNA, 76 nt
Organism: Phrynosoma platyrhinos (Desert horned lizard)
Lineage: Eukaryota; Metazoa; Chordata; Lepidosauria; Squamata; Phrynosomatidae
Source: the annotation of a GenBank genome assembly